UGGGGAAUAUUGCACAAUGGAGGGAAUUCUGAUGCAGCGACGCCGCGUGAGUGAUGAAGGAAUUCGUUUCGUAAAACUCUGUUCUAUGGGAAGAAAAGGACUGUACCAUAGGAGAAAGCUCCGGCUAAAUACGUGCCAGCAGCCGCGGUAAUACGUAUGGAGCGAGCGUUGUCCGGAAUUAUUGGGCGUAAAGGGUGCGCAGGCGGCUUUACAAGUUGGAUGUGAAAUAUUGUGGCUCAACCACAAACGUGCAUCCAAAACUGCAAAGCUUGAGUUAAGGAGAGGUAAGUGGAAUUCCUGGUGUAGCGGUGGAAUGCGUAGAUAUCAGGAGGAAUACCGGUGGCGAAGGCGACUUACUGGACUUAAACUGACGCUCAGGCACGAAAGCGUGGGGAGCAAACAGG
This 404-nucleotide ribosomal RNA is filed under the name Fusobacteriota bacterium. Its description in RNAcentral is "Fusobacteria bacterium partial 16S ribosomal RNA". It matches the Rfam family "Bacterial small subunit ribosomal RNA", at positions 355 to 776 of the family's 1533-position model. The record is from RNAcentral. Lineage: Bacteria; Fusobacteriati; Fusobacteriota.